GAGAGAGAGAGAGAGAGAGAGAGAGAGAAACGUUUUUCCCCCCUCUGCCUCUAUCUAGUUCCUCAGGCUGGUGCCUGCCCACAUUGAUGAGAGGAUAUCUUUCUCAGUCCACUGAUUCAAAUGCUCAUCUCUUUCAGAAAUAUCCUCACAGACAUACAUAGAAAUAAUGCUUUACUAGUUAUCCAUUAAUCCAGUCAGGUUAAAACCUAAAGUUAACCAUUACAACCAGUCUGAGUAUAAUAUUUGUAUGUAUAUCAGAUUUGCUAUAACAACCAACCUUAACAUCUCAGUUUUCUAUGACAAAAUAGUUUAUUGCUUUAUAAAUCACAGUCCAACACAGGUUAUCAAGCUAUAGUGGUGGUAGGUUCUACCCCACACAGUCAUUCAAGGACUCGGGCACCUUCAUCUUGUGAUUCCACUUUUCUUUUGGUCCUUACUCUUCUCUGCAUUCUGUCCAUGGUUAGGAAAAAUCAAGAGGGCAUAGAAAAAGGCCCACACCUCCAACACAAUCACCUCAGACUGGAGGUGACCUAUAUGACUCCCAUUCAUAUACUAUUGGGAAAAACUAGUUGCAUGGCUCUAUCUGUUAUAUAUACAAGUCCAGACACAUAAGGACAAAAGAACAGCACAGGUUGGACAGCAUGACACAUUUACUAAAAGUUCCUCCACAGGACCAAUUCGUAAAAAAUUACUAAGUUAAAGGUUAUGAACAUUUUAAUUUAGAUAAAUAAUGUCAUAUUAUUCUCUAUGAAAAACAACUUAUACUCUGACAAUAGUAUA
Molecule: long non-coding RNA, 780 nt
Filed under: Marmota monax (woodchuck)
Lineage: Eukaryota; Metazoa; Chordata; Mammalia; Rodentia; Sciuridae
Source: RNAcentral